Molecule: ribosomal RNA, 305 nt
Filed under: uncultured bacterium
Lineage: Bacteria
Description: bacterial SSU rRNA
Rfam family: Bacterial small subunit ribosomal RNA
Source: RNAcentral
UAGCCUACGGGGCGCAGCAGUGGGGAAUAUUGGGCAAUGGGCGCAAGCCUGACCCAGCAACGCCGCGUGAAGGAAGAAGGCUUUCGGGUUGUAAACUUCUUUUAAGAGGGAAGAGCAGAAGACGGUACCUCUUGAAUAAGCUCCGGCUAACUACGUGCCAGCAGCCGCGGUAAUACGUAGGGAGCAAGCGUUAUCCGGAUUUACUGGGUGUAAAGGGCGUGUAGGCGGGCCUGCAAGUCAGAAGUGAAAUCUGGGGGCUUAACCCCUAAACUGCUUUUGAAACUGUGGGUCUUGAGUGAUGGAGG